Molecule: ribosomal RNA, 219 nt
Filed under: uncultured bacterium
Lineage: Bacteria
Description: partial 16S ribosomal RNA
Rfam family: Bacterial small subunit ribosomal RNA
Source: RNAcentral
GCAAGUCGAACGAACCUUCGGGUGGAGCGGCGGACGGGUUAGUAACGCGUGGGAACGUACCCUUUUCUGCGGGAUAGCCAUUGGAAACGAUGAGUAAUACCGCAUACGCCCUUCGGGGGAAAGAUUUAUCGGAGAAGGAUCGGCCCGCGUUAGAUUAGAUAGUUGGUGGGGUAAUGGCCUACCAAGUCUACGAUCUAUAGCUGGUUUUAGAGGAUGAUC